AUGGGCGGAAGCCUGAUGCAGCAACGCCGCGUGCGGGAUGACGGCCUUCGGGUUGUAAACCGCUUUCACCCAUGACGAAGCGCGAGUGACGGUAGUGGGGGAAGAAGCACCGGCCAACUACGUGCCAGCAGCCGCGGUGAUACGUAGGGUGCGAGCGUUGUCCGGAAUUAUUGGGCGUAAAGAGCUUGUAGGCGGUUGAUCGCGUCGAUAGUGAAAUCCCGGGGCUCAACCUCGGGCUUGCUGUCGAUACGGGUUGACUUGAGGAAGGUAGGGGAGAAUGGAACUCCCGGUGGAGCGGUGGAAUGCGCAGAUAUCGGGAAGAACACCGGUGGCGAAGGCGGUUCUCUGGACCUUUCCUGACGCUGAGAAGCGAAAGCGUGGGGAGCAAACAGGCUUAGAUACCCUGGUAGUCCACGCUGUAAACGGUGGGUACUAGGUGUGGGUCGCAUUCCACGUGAUCCGUGCCGUAGCCAACGCAUUAAGUACCCCGCCUGGGGAGUACGGCCGCAAGGCUAAAACUCAAAGGAAUUGACGGGGCCCCGCACAAGCGGCGGAGCAUGCGGAUUAAUUCGAUGCAACGCGAAGAACCUUACCUGGGGUUUGACAUGUACUGGAAGCGCUCAGAGAUGGG
RNAcentral lists this ribosomal RNA (631 nucleotides) under Propionibacterium acidifaciens. Its description in RNAcentral is "bacterial SSU rRNA". It matches the Rfam family "Bacterial small subunit ribosomal RNA", at positions 371 to 1010 of the family's 1533-position model. Lineage: Bacteria; Bacillati; Actinomycetota; Actinomycetes; Propionibacteriales; Propionibacteriaceae. The record is from RNAcentral.